UCUCCGUUGGUGAACCAGCGGAGGGAUCAUUACCGAGUUUACAACUCCCAAACCCCUAUGUGAACGUUACCAAACUGUUGCCUCGGCGGGAAAUUCAUGCCCCGGGCGCGUCGCAGCCCCGAACCAAGGCGCCCGCCGGAGGACCAACCAAAACUCUUUUGUAUGUCCCUCGCUGACUUUUAUAAUUCUGAACCAUCUCGGCGCCCCUAGCGGGCGUUUCGAAAAUGAAUCAAAACUUUCAACAACGGAUCUCUUGGUUCUG
This 262-nucleotide unclassified non-coding RNA is filed under the name plant metagenome. RNAcentral describes it as "partial contains small subunit ribosomal RNA, internal transcribed spacer 1, and 5.8S ribosomal RNA". The record is from RNAcentral.